This 269-nucleotide ribosomal RNA is filed under the name uncultured bacterium. RNAcentral describes it as "partial 16S ribosomal RNA". It matches the Rfam family "Bacterial small subunit ribosomal RNA", at positions 793 to 1055 of the family's 1533-position model. The record is from RNAcentral.
GUCCUGGCUUAAACGAUGGAUGCUUGGUGUCUGGAGUUUUAUAGUCUCCGGGUGCCGUAGCUAACGCGUUAAGCAUCCCGCCUGGGGAGUACGGUCGCAAGACUGAAACUCAAAGGAAUUGACGGGGACCCGGCACAAGCGGUGGAGCAUGUGGUUCAAUUCGACGCAACGCGAAGAACCUUACCUGGGCUAGAAUGCCUCCUACAACCCUAGAGAUAGGGCUUCUUAGGGAAACCUAGGCGGAGUGCAAGGUGCUGCAUGGCUGUCGU